Molecule: ribosomal RNA, 253 nt
Filed under: uncultured bacterium
Lineage: Bacteria
Description: partial 16S ribosomal RNA
Rfam family: Bacterial small subunit ribosomal RNA
Source: RNAcentral
UACGUAGGGGGCUAGCGUUGUCCGGAAUCAUUGGGCGUAAAGAGCGUGUAGGCGGUCCGGUAAGUCCGCUGUGAAAGUCGGGGGCUCAACCCUCGAAUGCCGGUGGAUACUGUCGGGCUAGAGUGCGGAAGAGGCGAGUGGAAUUCCUGGUGUAGCGGUGAAAUGCGCAGAUAUCAGGAGGAACACCGGUGGCGAAGGCGGCUCUCUGGACGGUGACUGACGCUGAGACGCGAAGGCCAGGGGAGCAAACGGG